RNAcentral lists this ribosomal RNA (735 nucleotides) under uncultured Lachnospiraceae bacterium. Its description in RNAcentral is "bacterial SSU rRNA". It matches the Rfam family "Bacterial small subunit ribosomal RNA", at positions 42 to 776 of the family's 1533-position model. Lineage: Bacteria; Bacillati; Bacillota; Clostridia; Lachnospirales; Lachnospiraceae. The record is from RNAcentral.
GCGUGCCUAACACAUGCAAGUCGAGCGAACGCUUUACUUUGAUUCUUUCGGGAUGAAAAGUUUUGUGACUGAGCGGCGGACGGGUGAGUAACGCGUGGGUAACCUGCCUCAUACAGGGGGAUAACAGUUAGAAAUGACUGCUAGUACCGCAUAAGACCACAGCACCGCAUGGUGCAGGGGUAAAAACCCCGGUGGUAUGAGAUGGACCCGCGUCUGAUUAGGUAGUUGGUGAGGUAACGGCUCACCAAGCCGACGAUCAGUAGCCGACCUGAGAGGGUGACCGGCCACAUUGGGACUGAGACACGGCCCAAACUCCUACGGGAGGCAGCAGUGGGGAAUAUUGCACAAUGGGGGAAACCCUGAUGCAGCGACGCCGCGUGAGCGAAGAAGUAUUUCGGUAUGUAAAGCUCUAUCAGCAGGGAAGAAACUGACGGUACCUGACUAAGAAGCACCGGCUAAAUACGUGCCAGCAGCCGCGGUAAUACGUAUGGUGCAAGCGUUAUCCGGAUUUACUGGGUGUAAAGGGAGCGUAGACGGAGUGGCAAGUCUGGAGUGAAAACCCAGGGCUCAACCCUGGGACUGCUUUGGAAACUGUCAAUCUAGAGUGCUGGAGAGGUAAGUGGAAUUCCUAGUGUAGCGGUGAAAUGCGUAGAUAUUAGGAGGAACACCAGUGGCGAAGGCGGCUUACUGGACAGUGACUGACGUUGAGGCUCGAAAGCGUGGGGAGCAAACAGG